UCCCUCUUAAUGCUGCAUCUAACGCAUUAUUCACUCCCCCUGGGGAGUACGACCGCAAGGUUGAAACUCAAAGGAAUUGACGGGGACCCGCACAAGCGGUGGAACAUGUGGUUUAAUUCUAAGCAACGCGAAAAACCUUACCAAAUCUUGACAUCCUUUGACCCUUCUAGAGAUAGAAGUUUCCCCUUCGGGGGACAAAGUGACAGGUGGUGCAUGGUUGUUC
Molecule: ribosomal RNA, 223 nt
Filed under: Staphylococcus sp.
Lineage: Bacteria; Bacillati; Bacillota; Bacilli; Caryophanales; Staphylococcaceae
Description: partial 16S ribosomal RNA
Rfam family: Bacterial small subunit ribosomal RNA
Source: RNAcentral